This 251-nucleotide ribosomal RNA is filed under the name uncultured prokaryote. Its description in RNAcentral is "partial 16S rRNA". It matches the Rfam family "Bacterial small subunit ribosomal RNA", at positions 525 to 775 of the family's 1533-position model. The record is from RNAcentral.
ACGUAGGGAGCAAGCGUUGUCCGGAAUCACUGGGCGUAAAGGGCGCGUAGGCGGUUUUACAAGUUGUAUGUGAAAUACCAUGGCUUAACCAUGGGGGGUCAUGCAAAACUGUAAGACUUGAGUGCAGUAGAGGAAAGCGGAAUUCCUGGUGUAGCGGUAAAAUGCGUAGAGAUCAGGAGGAACACCGGUGGCGAAGGCGGCUUUCUGGGCUGUAACUGACGCUGAGGCGCGAAAGCGUGGGGAGCGAACAG